Artibeus jamaicensis (Jamaican fruit-eating bat) is the source of this 123-nucleotide small nuclear RNA. NCBI's taxonomy places the organism in Eukaryota, Metazoa, Chordata, Mammalia, Chiroptera, Phyllostomidae. The record is from RefSeq and is a predicted model, not a curated record.
AUGUUGUAUGAAAGGAGCGGUUACCACUCCCCUUGACAAAGGUGGAAGAGGCCCGCAGGCCCGAUGGCACAUAUGCAGUUAAAGCAUUGCCACCUGCGUGGUGGCAUCUGACCAUGUAAGUGC